GCCGGGAUGGUGGAAUUGGUAGACACGCAAGACUUAAAAUCUUGUGGCCCUUGGGCCGUGCGGGUUCAAGUCCCGCUCCUGGUACAA
RNAcentral lists this transfer RNA (87 nucleotides) under marine bacterium AO1-C. RNAcentral's name for it is "tRNA-Leu". It matches the Rfam family "tRNA". From Rfam's summary of the family: Transfer RNA (tRNA) molecules are approximately 80 nucleotides in length. The record is from RNAcentral. Lineage: Bacteria; Pseudomonadati; Bacteroidota; Cytophagia; Cytophagales; Cytophagaceae.